This 344-nucleotide ribosomal RNA is filed under the name uncultured eukaryote. RNAcentral describes it as "SSU rRNA". It matches the Rfam family "Eukaryotic small subunit ribosomal RNA", at positions 567 to 888 of the family's 1831-position model. The record is from RNAcentral.
CCAGCAGCCGCGGUAAUUCCAGCUCCAAUAGCGUAUAUUAAAGUUGUUGCAGUUAAAACGCUCGUAGUUGGAUCUUGGGGUGCGAGGAACUCUGUCCACCUAGUGGUGAGAACGGGUUCGUCCACUCUUCCCUUCUGGAUACUCCCUGUUGCCCUUAAUUGGGCUGCAGGAGCAGGCGGCGUUUACGCGCCGUCCGGGUUCCAGAUCGUUUACUUUGAGGAAAUUAGAGUGUUCAAAGCAGGCGUUCGCCUUGAAUACUGCAGCAUGGGAUAAUAGAACAGGACUGGGGUUCUGUUUUGUUGGUUUAUUGAACCACAGUAAUGAUAAAUAGGGACAGUUGGGGC